This 851-nucleotide ribosomal RNA is filed under the name uncultured bacterium. Its description in RNAcentral is "bacterial SSU rRNA". It matches the Rfam family "Bacterial small subunit ribosomal RNA", at positions 50 to 916 of the family's 1533-position model. The record is from RNAcentral.
CUUACCUGCAGUCGACGAUGACCCAGCUUGCUGGGGGAUUAGUGGCGAACGGGUGAGUAACACGUGAGUAACCUGCCCUUGACUCUGGGAUAAGCCUGGGAAACUGGGUCUAAUACCGGAUAUGACCUUCCAUCGCAUGGUGGUUGGUGGAAAGCUUUUGUGGUUUUGGAUGGACUCGCGGCCUAUCAGCUUGUUGGUGGGGUAAUGGCCUACCAAGGCGACGACGGGUAGCCGGCCUGAGAGGGUGACCGGCCACACUGGGACUGAGACACGGCCCAGACUCCUACGGGAGGCAGCAGUGGGGAAUAUUGCACAAUGGGCGCAAGCCUGAUGCAGCGACGCCGCGUGAGGGAUGACGGCCUUCGGGUUGUAAACCUCUUUCAGUAGGGAAGAAGCGAAAGUGACGGUACCUGCAGAAGAAGCGCCGGCUAACUACGUGCCAGCAGCCGCGGUAAUACGUAGGGCGCAAGCGUUAUCCGGAAUUAUUGGGCGUAAAGAGCUCGUAGGCGGUUUGUCGCGUCUGCCGUGAAAGUCCGGGGCUCAACUCCGGAUCUGCGGUGGGUACGGGCAGACUAGAGUGAUGUAGGGGAGACUGGAAUUCCUGGUGUAGCGGUGAAAUGCGCAGAUAUCAGGAGGAACACCGAUGGCGAAGGCAGGUCUCUGGGCAUUAACUGACGCUGAGGAGCGAAAGCAUGGGGAGCGAACAGGAUUAGAUACCCUGGUAGUCCAUGCCGUAAACGUUGGGCACUAGGUGUGGGGGACAUUCCACGUUUUCCCCGCCGUAGCUAACGCAUUAAGUGCCCCCGCCUGGGGAGUACGGCCGCAAGGCUAAAACUCAAAGGAAUUGACGG